This 585-nucleotide ribosomal RNA is filed under the name uncultured bacterium. Its description in RNAcentral is "bacterial SSU rRNA". It matches the Rfam family "Bacterial small subunit ribosomal RNA", at positions 102 to 683 of the family's 1533-position model. The record is from RNAcentral.
ACGGGUGAGUAAUGCCUAGGAAUCUGCCUGGUAGUGGGGGGCAACGUUUCGAAAGGAACGCUAAUACCGCAUACGUCCUACGGGAGAGAGCAGGGGACCUUCGGGCCUUGCGCUAUCAGAUGAGCCUAGGUCGGAUUAGCUAGUUGGUGAGGUAAUGGCUCACCAAGGCGACGAUCCGUAACUGGUCUGAGAGGAUGAUCAGUCACACUGGAACUGAGACACGGUCCAGACUCCUACGGGAGGCAGCAGUGGGGAAUAUUGGACAAUGGGCGAAAGCCUGAUCCAGCCAUGCCGCGUGUGUGAAGAAGGUCUUCGGAUUGUAAAGCACUUUAAGUUGGGAGGAAGGGUUGUAGAUUAAUACUCUGCAAUUUUGACGUUACCGGCAGAAUAAGCACCGGCUAACUCUGUGCCAGCAGCCGCGGUAAUACAGAGGGUGCAAGCGUUAAUCGGAAUUACUGGGCGUAAAGCGCGCGUAGGUGGUUUGUUAAGUUGGAUGUGAAAUCCCCGGGCUCAACCUGGGAACUGCAUCCAAAACUGGCAAGCUAGAGUAUGGUAGAGGGUGGUGGAAUUUCCUGUGUAGCGGUG